GAAAUUUCAUUGUGAUAGGUUUUACAACUUAUAAUAAUUGAAAUUUUAGUGGUUGCGCCCGGCGGGAACCGGGCGCAUUU
Bacteroides caccae CAG:21 is the source of this 80-nucleotide non-coding RNA. NCBI's taxonomy places the organism in Bacteria, Pseudomonadati, Bacteroidota, Bacteroidia, Bacteroidales, Bacteroidaceae. The record is from Rfam.